CGCAGGGGGGCGGCGGAGCGGAGCGCGGAGGCGGAGGGGGGGAUAAGGGGGCGGGGGGGGGGGGGGGUGAGCAUCGCGGAACAAAGGGGCUCUGCCGGCGGCGGGGCUGGAGGGGAGCGCCCGAGGGUAUGUGUGUGUGUCUGUGGCUCUGUCCGUGUGUCUCUCUCCGUGCAUGUGUCUCUGCGGGGCCGGGAUCGCCCGGUCCAAGCCCUCCGCCGGCAGCGCCGCGCAGAGCCUCUGGAGUUCGCCGUGUUUCGGAUGGCGUAUGGAUGACGGGAAGUGAAUUCCCCGCCGGCCGGGGACGUGCGGGCUCCCCGCGCCACGCCGCGCACCACUGCUCGCCCGCUUGGAUGCUGCAGGUCCGGCCACACCGAGCUGACGGCACCGCCGCAUCUGCGGGGCAAAACGCGCCCUUAGCUGCGAUAAAUAAAAGGGUCUCUCUGUGUUUUAAUUAAUUUAUUAAUCAAUUAAGGUACUGAAAACACGCAGUGUCGUCCUCACUGAGCUAGUGUCAAGACUGCACAAGGUGUUCCUCCUUGUAAUUUACGUUUGUUUCCUUGUAGUAGUAGGACAGAAAGCAUGCUAAGGAAGCUCAGAGUAAACGGGUUCCAUUAUACCUGAAGAUACUCAGACCAAAUCUCCCCCUCUGAUAACCUGUAUUGGGCAUAUGUGAAAGAAAUUUGAAACAAAACACAGAAAAAAAAAAAAAAAAGAGAGAGAGAGAGAGAAAAGGGUGAAAUAAGCCAAAUAUAUACCGAAGCCUGAGAAUUAUCUCUUUUCUAUAUUUUAACAAUAUGCGUAACUUCAAUAUGUAUUUGCUCCUGUGUAAGUUCCCAUAAAAAAGGGAACACUCAGUGCUGGUCAAACUCUCUCAGUAGCCUCUAAACUGUUCCCAUCAGAAAUAUUUGAACUGAUGGGGAGAAAAGGUUUAAAAAUGUUGGAGUGUAAUUCCUAAUUUAGGAAAACUUAUAAUGGUGAUCAAUCACACAUAUCAAACCACAUGAAAUGAAAUGUUGCAUAAAAUAAAGGAUACUUCCUGUAGUUUUACUGUUGUUUCUUUUUUCUAAGUCAAAUGUUCAGUACACUGUAUCCUACAAAUUAAUCCAUUCAUUUGAAAUUAGUCAGUCAACAUGUUGGUACGGAGCUUUCAGUGACUUGGUUAUUCUUCUUCCAUAUGAAAGAUUGGGGGUUUUGAUUUGGUGAUGCAAAAAGACAAUCCUGUGGCAAUUAAUAAAGGCUGAUUUAUGGUCUUGUCACUCAGCACUGAGACAGUAAUACAGGGCUUCUUUUUCUGACAAAUAAUCAGGAUAGGUUUCCUUUUCAGCUACAGAUUCUUUUUGUAACCUAUGGUUGCUCUUAUUUUGUUUAGCUUUAUUAAAUUGACUGGCUUUACAGAAAGCAGUUAGUGUUUUCAGUUGCCCUUUCUAUGCAGUUUUUAUAGAAUAGAAUUCUUCACUUCCAACAAAGGUGUUUCCCCCCUGAAUGGGUUCCCUUAAAUAAUCACUUUGAUUCUUGUAAUCCUAAUGUUGCUUCACAGACUUACCACAUUUCAUCAGGAAAAAUGAGAAGGGGAAAAAAAAACAAAACACCCCAAAACCACCAACACAACCAAACAACAAAGCAAAAUAACAACAAACACUUAGUGAAUACCAUUCCUGUUGCAACACUAUGAUUGUUUUAAAUCAGAGGUUUAAAUCAGAGGUUUGAAACCAGUCCAAGUUGAAACUUUCUCCUAACACCACUGACUAUUUGGAAAGAUGGUCACCUCACCUUAUUUUUUUGUGGACAGUGUGUGUAUCAGAGAAGCCUCUUUUAGAAAUCAGUUCAUGAAAGGAAAAGACAAAGACUGUGUAGGUAAGUGUAUUCUAUUUCCUAUUUAUUCUAGCAGAAAGUCCAUUAAAAUACUACUGAGAAGUGCUAACCAGGAAGCUCAUACUUUCACAGCCUGUGCCUUGAAUUUAGUGCCUUGAAACUGUCUUCAGUAUUAAUUCCUUAUUUUGUAUGAAGAAACUAAAUUCUGGUACAUAAAGUGUACCUAAAUAAUCAGCUCCUCUGAAGUCAAAAUCUUUCCUGUGACAUCACAAUUGCCUUUGAAGAGAUUGGUGUGAUGUGACAGGGAGGAUUAUGACUUCAAGUAGGAAUUAAGUAGUAGGGACUCAAAUGAGACAAAAAUCCUAUUUUCAAGCAAAGAAAAUAAAUCCUAGUAAUUGUAGGAAAAGAAGAAAAUGGUACUGAAGAAUGUAACAAUGAGUAUGAACUGUUUCUUAAUUCUUCACAAAGUCAGGAAGAACAAAGAACUCUCUAAGGAUUAAAGAAGAUAACAGUUAUGAAGCAUAAGCUUAUAUUAGCACAUUCAUUUUUUUUCUUUAACAUUUUUAGAAGCAUUUAGAAUAUUUGAAAUGAGGAAUUUGCUUUACAGUCUGAAUCACAUACACCUCUUCUUCGUAAUUCCUUUAGUAUUAAGCUAGUAGUCUUUCCUUUUGAGACAAGAACAGUGCAAAUAUUUAAUGCCACCUUGUAAUUCAAGUUUCAGCAUGAACUUUUACUUUUUUUCAUUUCUCUCUAGUCUUGAAGUUAAUUUCACAAUUCUUUUAUACUUAUGCUAAUAUUUUUUGUAUAUUCAAUACAAAACAUAGAAAAUCAAGCAGAGAUAACUGUAUUCUCAGUUUGUGCUAUUCCCCCCUCUAGGAUAAGUAUAGAUAGUAUAGAUAAAAGGCAUGUUUAUGUACUAUUUGGUCAAUAAAAGCAAAGAGGUUUUUUCCUGAUUUAUAGGAACCAAAAUUACUUAUUAAUAUUCAAAAUACUGAUAUUUCUUCCAAGAUGCACUCUGGUUAUUACUAAAAGAAGAUUCUACAUAUUCCUUCUUUACUUCAUGUAUUGCUGGUUGAUAGGUCUAAGUGCUUCUCAUUCUGAACAAAAGAGGCUUGGGCUUUUGGUGUUUAUGUCUUUGUUUUGAUUUUUUUUUGGUCAGUUUUUGUUGUUGUUUGGUUUUGGUUGGUUGGUUGGUUGGUUUUGUUUUGUUUGUUUAUUCAAUUAAGGAACAUUCCUGAGAUACCUAUGUAGAGAAAAACUGAUAUAAUGAUAGCUAGAGUGCUGAUCACUUAGUCCCACUGAAAAAAUGGAUCACAAGAUUAUCUUUCUCAAGCAGAAGAAAAUAAUUCAUUUUAAAACAGAAGUAAAAAAAAUGCUUUGGUCGAACAUCCAAUUAAUAUAAAUAUAUAUAUUUAUAUAGUUUCCUUGCCUUCAUUUGUCUCAUCUAAAUCUAGCUGGUUUUUGUACUGUGGGCUAGACAGGAGGCUUUUGAUAUGGGCAUAAUUUUUCAAAGACAAAAAGCCAUAUUUCUGGUAGUUUGCUAAAAUAGACACAGGUCACUCUGCAGUGCAUGUGCUUAUUGUCCUUCUUUCUAUAUGGAGAAAUGGGUUGCUGUGGACCUGAAAAGUUACCUCUCACUGGUCAAGUAUUAAGAUAUACUUUGGAAUAGAAAAUUUCUUCUAAAUUCCAAAGUCAAGCUGAGAGUUAGUAUAGCCCACAUUAAUCUUAAAAGAACAAAAACAAAAGCAAAACAACAACAAGAACAAAAAACUUAUUUCUCCAGAAAAUAUUUUUAAUGCAUUUAUUACAGACUUCUUGGAUGGAAGAGAAAGGCAGAGCUAUCGGCAUUGUGGUUUCUCUUUUGCUUAAGGUGAAGUUAAGUGACUACUUGGAAUGAUCUCAAGACCUUACAGAUUACAAGAGUGUCUGACUUGAUUUCAAAGAUUUUUUGCUUAAUCCUCUCUAAACCAACAAUUAGCAAUUUACUAAUUGUAUAUGUUUUUCUUGAUGUACAGGGUAUUAUAUAAAAGAUUAAUUCUAUUAAAUUAUGUAUUAGUCAUAUUAAGCACUGGAAAUUCCUCUGGAAAUUAGUGAUAUUUUUCCCACUAGUGAAAUGGUAAAUAGACAUUUUAAAACUUUACAUAAAUACAUAUUUCUUAUUUUAAAUUCAUAAUUUCUCUCACAUACUAUCUUCAAAGGAAUAGUUGUUUCAGCUAUAUAAUGAGGACCAAUUUCUACCAAUUUAGCUUUAAGCACCUGUGAUACCUAAUUCACUCUAUCUUCGUAAUUUGACGGUCUGGAGGAACAACUCCUGAGAGUAAUUUAUCCUAUUUACAGUCUGAGUAUAUACAGGAAGUUAUCCAUUGACUAUAAAAGGCAGACUUCAAUGAUUGUGGUCCUUAACUUAGGAGUCUUAGUAAGGUACUUUAAGUUAGGGUAAGCCUAACAAUGACAGCCGGAGCUGGUCUGCUAAGUCAAUGGAAAAAUGAUCCUGGACUUUAAAUGUCCAGUGAAUUAAUGCAGAAAACUAAUUACCCCUUGAGUUCAUACUUCUGGCUGCAUCGAAGCACUUUGGGAAGUAUUUGAAAAGCAUUUCCUUACCAAGUUUAUUUUGUCCCCAAAGCUAAAUUUCUAAUCGUGCAGAAUCUCUAGUAUCAUCAGAUAUCUUUCACUUCCCAAGCACUUAAAAAGAAAGAAACAAACACAAACAUAAAACAAGUAAGAAGCCCUCUUGGAAGAAUGUAUACAUGGAUUAGAAACAUUAUCUCUUCAUACGAAGUGAGAGGUACUGAUUAAGCACUUGGUUCUGACAAAUCUAUGCAUCAGUUCAUAACAAUGUUCUCUUUUAAAGUUGCAGGGUUUGGUACUUUUAUUUGCCCUGUUUCUGUGUUCAGAUUCUCUAAAAUAUGUCUCAUAAUUUGCUUGAGCCAUUGUGUAAAAUAUAUGUCAGACAUGAUUUAACAUCUACGCUGUGUCUCAAAGAGCAAUGCAUACAGGAGCCAUGAUGCAGCAGAGAGAAAAUAUCUGCAGAAUUCAUAGUCUAUAAAUCAGUCAUGACCAUUCCUUCAUGUGUUCCUUCUAUAUUUAGAAGAAAGCUUGGCUAAACUGAACAAAAUAGUUUGAAACAUAAUAAAUAAAUAAAUAAAUAAAUAAAUAAAUAAAUAAGGAGUUUAGUUAAGGCUCUGAAUCAUAUAUUGGACCUUAGGUUCUCCAGCUUUAAAGCACUGAACAAGGUAAAUAAGAAGGGAAUCUCAAUCUCAGCAGGAAAGGAACUUGUCUGGAAAUAUGAUUUUCAAAGACAGCUGCAAAAUUGCUCAACAAAACUAAUCCACAGGGAAUAAUAUUGAAAGGGACAUCGUCAGUCUGUGGUCCAGUGUAACCAUGCAUAACACAGACUCCACCAGGAUGGUUACAGAGAAUUUGAGGACACAAUAAAUUUGCAUAAUCUUGGAAAGCCUGAACCUUUCCAAUUUCAAAUCAGGUUACUUUUCUCUCCUUUAAAAGAGUAUAUAGAUUAAAUAA
This is a long non-coding RNA of Oxyura jamaicensis (ruddy duck), 5334 nucleotides long. RefSeq lists it as uncharacterized. The record is from RefSeq and is a predicted model, not a curated record. The transcript is spliced from 2 exons. Lineage: Eukaryota; Metazoa; Chordata; Aves; Anseriformes; Anatidae.